Molecule: ribosomal RNA, 464 nt
Filed under: uncultured bacterium
Lineage: Bacteria
Description: SSU rRNA
Rfam family: Bacterial small subunit ribosomal RNA
Source: RNAcentral
AGGACGAACGCUGGCGGCGUGCUUAACACAUGCAAGUCGAGCGAACCUUCGGGUUAGCGGCGAACGGGUGAGUAACACGUGGGCAACCUGCCCCGAGCUCUGGGAUAACUCCGGGAAACCGGGGCUAAUACCGGAUAUGACCCGAGAAGACAUCUUCUCGGGUGGAAAGUUUUUCGGCUCGGGAUGGGCCCGCGGCCUAUCAGCUUGUUGGUGGGGUAACGGCCUACCAAGGCGACGACGGGUAGCCGGCCUGAGAGGGCGACCGGCCACACUGGGACUGAGACACGGCCCAGACUCCUACGGGAGGCAGCAGUGGGGAAUAUUGCGCAAUGGGCGAAAGCCUGACGCAGCGACGCCGCGUGAGGGAUGAAGGCCUUCGGGUUGUAAACCUCUUUCAGCAGGGACGAAGCGAAAGUGACGGUACCUGCAGAAGAAGCACCGGCCAACUACGCGCCAGCAGCCGC